UACAGAGGUCUCAAGCGUUGUUCGGAUUCAUUGGGCGUAAAGGGUGCGUAGGCGGCGCGGUAAGUCGGGUGUGAAAUCUCGGAGCUUAACUCCGAAACUGCAUUCGAUACUGCCGUGCUUGAGGACUGGAGAGGAGAUUGGAAUUUACGGUGUAGCAGUGAAAUGCGUAGAUAUCGUAAGGAAGACCAGUGGCGAAGGCGAAUCUCUGGGCAGUUACUGACACUGAGGCACGAAGGCCAGGGGAGCAAACGGG
This 253-nucleotide ribosomal RNA is filed under the name uncultured bacterium. RNAcentral describes it as "partial 16S ribosomal RNA". It matches the Rfam family "Bacterial small subunit ribosomal RNA", at positions 524 to 776 of the family's 1533-position model. The record is from RNAcentral.